GACGAACGCUGGCGGCGUGCUUAACACAUGCAAGUCGUACGGUAAGGCCCUUUCGGGGGUACACGAGUGGCGAACGGGUGAGUAACACGUGAGUAACCUGCCCACAACUUUGGGAUAACGCUAGGAAACUGGUGCUAAUACUGGAUAUGUGCUCCUGCUGCAUGGUGGGGGUUGGAAAGCUCCGGCGGUUGUGGAUGGACUCGCGGCCUAUCAGCUUGUUGGUGGGGUAGUGGCCUACCAAGGCGGCGACGGGUAGCCGGCCUGAGAGGGUGACCGGCCACAUUGGGACUGAGAUACGGCCCAGACUCCUACGGGAGGCAGCAGUGGGGAAUAUUGCACAAUGGGCGCAAGCCUGAUGCAGCAACGCCGCGUGCGGGUUGACGGCCUUCGGGUUGUAAACCGCUUUCAGCAGGGACGAAGCUUUUUGUGACGGUACCUGCAGAAGAAGCACCGGCUAACUACGUG
Molecule: ribosomal RNA, 465 nt
Filed under: uncultured bacterium
Lineage: Bacteria
Description: partial 16S ribosomal RNA
Rfam family: Bacterial small subunit ribosomal RNA
Source: RNAcentral